GCUUGCAGGGGUGCCUGGGUCGGGGGCUGCAGGUGGGAGUGAGCAAAUGUGCUGUCUCGCCACCUCGGGACAGGUGGUAGGGCCUCUGACACAGAGUGGUCCUUCCUGCUGUUCACAGCUCAGCUCACCGUGGGCUGACCAUAGAUUCUCGUUGAAAUCCUAACGCCCCAGGCAAUGAUGUUAGGAGGCGGGGCUUCUGGGAGAUGGCAAGUUCGUGAGGCUGCAGCUCUGCUGGGGGAUCAGUGUCCUUCUACAAGCGGCUCCAGGGAGGUCCCUUGCCCCUUCCACCAUGUGAGGACCCGAGAUGGUGCCGUCUAUGAACCGGGAAGUGAGUCCUCUCCGGACGUGGAACAAGUUGGUGCCUUGAUUUUGAACUUGCAGCCUCCAGCUUCAUGGGGUUUAAGUACGAUGAUGCUGCAUUGAGACGUUGUACUGUGUGAAGUCAGGGCCUUCUGUGCAUCGGUCGAGGGUGCAAUGCACACGGCACCCCCGAGCAGCCACCCAUCCUCCCUUCCCUCCACCCUGCGAGGCCCCGUUGUCCGUCUGUCCACACUCUGCUCCAUGAGCACACGUGACUUAGCUUCGCCUUGUGAGCCGCUGCUUGGGGUGAGCAUGCUUCCUGCUGGAUGCUUCUCUAUGUAAGCACCUGCCUGAGUGUCAGCCCUCUUAAGGUGAACCGCUCCGUGUCAUUCGUACAUUCACAAGUUUGUGCCGCCAUCAUCGUGAUCGGAUUCCAAAACAUUUUCAUCACCUCCAAGAAAGCCUUGUACCUGGCAGCAGUCACUGUCUCUAUGGAUUUGCUUAUUCUGGACAUUUCAUAAAAAUAGAAUCAAACAGCA
This is a long non-coding RNA of Homo sapiens (human), 839 nucleotides long. RefSeq lists it as uncharacterized. NCBI's taxonomy places the organism in Eukaryota, Metazoa, Chordata, Mammalia, Primates, Hominidae. The record is from RefSeq and is marked validated. The transcript has 4 exons.